CCUACGGGUGGCAGCAGUGAGGAAUCUUGGUCAAUGGUCGGGAGACUGAACCAGCCAAGCCGCGUGAGGGAGGAAGGUACAGAGUAUCGUAAACCUCUUUUGUCAGGGAACAAAGACUGGGACGCGUCCCCGGAUGAGUGUACCUGAAUAAAAAGCAUCGGCUAACUCCGUGCCAGCAGCCGCGGUAAUACGGAGGAUGCGAGCGUUAUCCGGAUUUGUUGGGUUUCAAGUGUGCGCAGGCGGUCUGUUAAGUCAGAGGUCAAAGCCCGGGGCUCAACCCCGGCCCGCCGUUGAAACUGGCAGGCUCGAGUUGGAGAGAAGUAUGCGGAAUGCGCGGUGUAGCGGUGAAAUGCAUAGAUAUCGCGCAGAACUCCGAUUGCGAAGGCAGCAUGCCGGCUCCACACUGACGCUGAGGCACGAAAGCGUGGGUAUCGAACAGGAUUAGAUACCCUUGUAGUC
Molecule: ribosomal RNA, 459 nt
Filed under: uncultured bacterium
Lineage: Bacteria
Description: partial 16S ribosomal RNA
Rfam family: Bacterial small subunit ribosomal RNA
Source: RNAcentral